RNAcentral lists this long non-coding RNA (9212 nucleotides) under Gossypium barbadense (sea-island cotton). RNAcentral's name for it is "long non-coding RNA (GBAR_LNC011231)". The record is from RNAcentral. Lineage: Eukaryota; Viridiplantae; Streptophyta; Magnoliopsida; Malvales; Malvaceae.
AAUCUCUCUACUUUUUAAAUUUCAAAAAAGCAGCUCCAACUAUUAAAUACUGUUAAAUCUAAGGCUGUGUUUGGUAACCAUGAAAAUAUUUUCCGGAAAAUGUUUUCCUAAUUUUACGCUGUUUGGUUACAUGAAAAUAUUUUACAUAAGUAAAACGUUUUCAGAAACCCGGUAAAAUGGGAUGCUUUUUAUGUAAAAUGUCUUACGGAUUUUUUUUCCGUAAGACAUUUUCCAAACUCUCACUUUCCCUUGCGCCGUUCAUCUUCCUUCUUCUUCAUCCAUCUAGGUAUUUUCCACUUUUACUUCUUCUGUUCUUCUUCUUCCAUUUUUCCUUUCGCAUAAUCUCUUCUAAUGGUAGCUUUUCGGUCUUAGGUGCUUUCUCUUUCGCAUACAACUGGUAUCAUCCUUGCGUCGUUCUUCAUCUUCUCAUCCAGGUAACUUUUCUCCUCUUCUUCUUCUUCCAUUCUUCAUCUUUAAUUGAAAGUGUAAAAACGUUAUUUAAGCAAAUAUACAGAGGACAGGAGCAUUUAAGGGUUUAGACAAAUACACCAAAAACCUCACGCUUAGGCUUCUUGUUUUUCCCUUUUCUACUAAUACCCACUUACCCCAUCUCUACAAUCUGCUUUUUUUUUUCAUGUGACAGUUUAAAACAUUGAAUUGAAGGUUAUUGACUGGAUUUUCUAUUUCUGGAUUUUAAACAGUUUAAAAUUAUAUAUGCUUAUCUCCAUUUGUUUAAGUUAAAUGAGGUUAGUUGAUUAUCACUUGGAAGUUGUCAAAAAAAAAAAACUCCUUAAAUCAUGAAACAAAGACAUUUGUGGAAACAUUAAUGCCAUAGUGAUGAACUUAGAUAUGCUGAUUAACGAUCUUGACAAACUAGCAGAGGGAAAGGGAGCUCAAUUCAGAGGAGCUUACUCUUAAAGAAAAAUACCCAGCAAGCUUCCACUAAAAAAUCCUAAUAAGGUGUGGAGGGUACAACCGCUCCACAUGCUUAAGACUUCAUGGAGUAUAGAAUUUUAAAGGAUAUAAAAAAAUACAGGUUAAAUAUAUCCUAUUCCAGGUGCUUGAAAUUCUAAAAUUCCAAUUUGGAAAUCUUCAAAUUUUCAAAACAUUAUAUGAUUAAUUUAGGAAAGGCAGUAAAUUCAUUUUUAUGGAAUCUACAAAUCAAGUUCAAAUGAUUCUAUGGCCGUUCCAAAGCUAACAACAUAGUACAAAAUCUAACGAGGGACCUCAACUAAUAGUCUUUACAAGAUAGAUAUCCUUUAGUGAUAUAUAGACUAAUUCCAUUUUGAUCUGCAGGAAAAAAAACAGUUGAUAAAUAGCUUAAAAUUUAGACUAUUACACAAGAAACACAAGGCAGUAUGCAGUUUAUUUCUGAGUUUAUUUGUGUUUAGGCAGUAUGCCUUUGCAAGUUAUAUGACUAAAAUGCUGUUAAAAGUAGCAGUGGUUUUCUUUAUUUUUUCAUCUCUAUUUUUUCUUUUGUCAUUUUGUCUGAAUUGAUAAUUAUUGAGGACGAACUUUACUUACUAUUUUUGAUCAUUUGUAACUGUUUAAGCUUCAAAUUUUGAAUAACAAAGAGGUAUUUUUAAGGUAUCUUAUGAUGGCCAUUGCAUUCAAAGCUACAAAGAUUGGAAGCUUUAAAAUGAGAACUUGGAAUAGCAUGGAAACAAUCACCUAGAGUGACUUGUGGGAAUUAGAUUUUUGUCUGGUUUGAGGUUUGUUCAACAGAUAGGUGUAAUUUGGGAUUUUAUGGUUCUGUUUGUUGCGAUCUGUCUAUGUUUAUGUUUUUAGGAUGGGUCAUUUUGUACCUGUUGAUUACUUUGUUUUUAUGCAGCUUUCAUAGUUGUUGUACUAGCAAAAAAAAUAAUAAGUCAAAUAAUAUAUAUUUUAUUUUUUAAGUUCAUGGUUAUUGGCAGUGUCUGAAUAUGCUUACUAGAUUUUUCAUUUUAAAAUAUGAUUUAUGAUUAAAAAAAAGUCAUGUAAAAGUGUGUAGUUUUUUGCCUUAAGCAAUCGGUAGUUCAAUUGUCUUUUGGUCUACUAUUGUUAUCAUCACAAAAUUAACUUGUAAUGGUCUCAAUUGAAAAUUAUUGUCAAUUUCAUUUUGUUAAUAGCAGAAACAAAAAAUGAAACCAUAUAUAUAUAACUAUCAAGUAAGUAUUUUUAAUUACAUGACUAUCAAGUAAGUAUUUUUUAAUUAAAAAAAUAUCAUAACAAUAAAUUUAACAAAAAGAAUUUAUAAGUGUUAAUAGUUGGACCUAAAUUUUGAAAUCUGUAAAGUAGAGAGACUAAAUUCCAUGAAAUAAAAGUACAAGGACUAGAUUCCUAAAUUUCGAAAAGUAUAAGGACUUCUGGCAAAUUUUAACUUUAAUUUUUUAAUAUUUUUACUACACCUUUUAAGACAUUCAUUACAUUCUAAAUUCGCUUCUAGAGUCUAAAAAACUUCACAAAAAGUGUAUAUGAUAAUUUUUCAUAAAAAAUAAAAUUAAAAAAGCUAGUGAUUUUUGCAUGUGGAAUUAGCCUUAACAUAUUGUUUUAGAAAAUCUUGGUUAAGCUUUAUUAUUAUUAUAUAUAAUUCACACUUUUGAUAAAAAUAAAUUAUUCUUACACACAUUACAAUUUAAAUCUAGGAUGCAAGCAAUGGAGUAAACACUCAUGCCAAAAUGUCAAACAUUGAGGCCCUAACUUUUCUUAAAUGGGAUUGAUUCAAUUAACAGGUCAAUUUCUCCAAAGUAAAAAUUAUAUAUAUUUUAUAAAAGUAGAUGUUCGAGAUCAACCCGAUUAAUCCAUAAGUAAAAAAUAGCGGAAGAAAUUGAGAAAUUGAAUGCACAAAUUUAAUGUGGAAAAAUUCAUCUAAAUAGGAUAAAAAAUCACUGGCAAAGAUAAAUUCACUAUAAUGGCAAAAAAACGAAAAGUGCAAAAGAUAGAAAUAAAUACUAAACCCUGAAAACAAAGAACCCUCAAAACGUAAACACAAAAUUCUCUAAAUAUGUUAUGAAUUCUAAUUUCUAAUGGGUAUAUUUUCUAAGGUUGUAAAAGAACAUAUUUAUAGGCUAAAUUCAUAGGUCAAAUAAUAAAAAAAACUAGACUAAUUAGAGUUUGAUUGAAACAAAUAAAUAUAGUUUAACUGGAAGAUUAUUUCUCAAAUUUGAUUGAAAUAGGAGUCAUACUCAACAAAUCUCCACAUUGACUCAUAUUUCCAUAACGCCAUCUUUGCCAAAACCCACCACGAGCCUAUCUUGAACUAUGCAGGGGAUUAACUUAGUCGAAUCUAUGCUUAGAAACUGGAAGACUUUAGCCUUCGACUUGUACACUUCCAAAUCAGAACUAACCUGGGUCUAAUUUUCGCGAACACAGAGCCCUAACUUUUCAAAACCUGCAUCCAAAAGAGAACCUCUCUUCAACGAAAUGAUCAUACAUUUUUCCCUCCUCUGAUCAAGUUGCCUCUACUCCAAAUGAGUUGAGUUCGACUCUGUAACGGACGAAGGGCGUUCGAUUUCAUCGGUCAUUGUAGAACCUUCCAGAAUAUAAAGACCGCCGAUCCUUUUACCUUUUAACAAAAUAAGAGCUCCACGAGAUACUUUAAUUCCGCUCGACUCGAUGUUGAUUCUGUAUCCUUUCGAGUCUAAAAUACUUAAUGAGAUAAGAUUCUUUCGUAAUUUAGGUACAUACCUGACAUCUGAGAGUGUUCUAAUAGUCCCAUCGUGCAUCCUAAUUUUAACAGUACCAAUACCAUUUACCUUACUGGAUGAAUAGUUUCUCAUGUGCACAACUUCACCUUCAAUCGAACUGUACAUGGAGAACCAUUCUCUAUUGGAACACAUGUGGAAAGAACAUCCCGAAUCUAGGAUACACUCGGACGUAAGUUUAGAGUUAUCGAUUGUUGACACUAACAAGAAAUCAUCACCACUUUCAUUGGCCAAAUUAGCACCAGCUACAUCUUCUUCGUUACUCUCAUCAUCUCUUUUAUUUCGUAGUUUAUAACAAUCUACUUUGACGUGCGUAACUUUUUACAAUAGCGACACCUUUUGUCUUGCUUUUUUGAUGCUACCAAAACGGAAGCUUGCCUAUCUGCUUUGCUAUCCGAACCAAACUCAUUUUUUAGUUUGUCUCUACUCAACAAAUGACCCUUCACAUCUUUGAAUGAGAGUUUGUUUCUACCAUAAAUCAGGGUUUCCUUAAAAGACUUGUAUGAAAGGGGUAAAGAGCAGAAUAAUAGCAUAGCCUAAUCUUCAUCAUCAAUCUAAACUUCAACAUUCUUUAAAUAAUUUAAGAGAGUAAUGAAUUGACUGAUAUGAUCUCUAAGAAGUUCACAUUAGUUCAUGCGAAACGUAAAUAGACGUUGUUUCAACACUAAAUGGUUAGUUAAAGACUUAGUCGCAUAAAGAGUUUCUAAUCUUUUCCACAAGGCAGAUAAGGUUUUCUCCAUCAAUACCUCCUACAAUACCGUAUUCGUGAGGCACAACUGGAUUGCAGACAAGGCCUUUUCAUCAAGCUCUUCCCAUUCUGUUUGAUUUAGAUUCUUAGGCUUUUUCCCGAUAAUAAUCUUUUUUAGGCCAGUUUGAACUAGAAUUGCCAUCAUUCGAGCUUUUCACAGAUUGAAAUUUGUGACACUAUCAAACUUCUCAAUUUCAAACCUUGUUGCUGCCAUCUUUGAACAAGUUGAUCUACAAAAAUUGAACUAGCUUUAAUACCACUUGUUGGGGAUCGACCCGAUUAAGCAACAAGUAAAAAAUAAUGGAAGAAAUUGAGAAAUUGAAUACACAGAUUUAACGUGGAAAAAUCCUUCUAAAGAGGAUAAAAAAUCACGGAAAAAGAUAAUUUUACUAUAAUGGCAAAAGAACAAAGAGUACAAAAAAUGGAGAUAAAAACUAAACCUCGAAAACCAGAAAAUAAAGAACCCUCAAAAUGUAAACACAAAAUUCUCUAAAUGUGUUAUGAUUUCUAAUUUCUAAUGGGUGUAUUUUCUAAGGUUGUAAAAGAGCCUAUUUAUAUGCUAAAUUCAUAGGUCAAAUAAUAAAUAAAUAAUCUAGACUAAUCAAUGUUUGAUUGAAACAAAUAUACAAAGUUUAACUGGAAGAUUAUUUCUCAAAUUUUAUUGAAACAUGAGUCAUACUCAACAGUAGAUAUGACAAUAAAUUGACAAGAAUAGUAUACAUCUAAAGGAAUACGGAUAAAAGUUUCUGAAACCUAAAGUUGUAAUUCAAAAUGUCAAUUUCGAUUUCGAAGAUAGAAACACAUUAACAAAGGAUAGAUAAAUGAAAAUUAAGACUUGCCAAUUUUGAAACAACAAUGGAAAUUUAUGGGUCAAACUUAAAAUUAUUUAUGGAUUGUGUUGUACUCAUGGUAUCAACAUUAUGCAUGUUAGUUUAAAUUUAACAAAGUCCAAAAUAGUAGAAUCUUAACUCGAUAAAAAAGUAAAUAAUGUAUUCUCAUUGACAUUGUAUGGAUUAUGAUAUGGUCAUGAGUCAUUUCUCUAUCGACAAAUGAUUUUGUCAUUAUUAAUAUAAAUAAUAAUGAUUUUUUUAUGGAAAAUAUAAUGGUGACUAUGAGAUGAAAAAUGAUCAAAUUGGGUAUGGAUUUAAUCUAAAGGGAUCAUGGAUAUCUUAUAGGGUAACACAUGAAAUGGAUUAAAGUUUAACAUAACUAACUUUCAUAAUGGUAUAUAAUAAGGAGUUUAGUCACGGUGCUUUUAGUGAAUUGAAUCCAUAACUAAAUAACUUUCUAAUUAAUAGGUGAUGAGUCAAAAUUUAAUUACAAGUUAUUUUACCCCUAAUUACCUGUGUUCAAUCCGUCCUUCCAUUAUCUCAUUAUAGCUUUGAAUGGAUUGCAUGUAAGAACUUUGAAUGAUUUGAUAAAAUGAUGAAUGGUAAAUAGAUUACAUGAAUUAGUAUAUGCAAAUAAAAAUACAUUUGCUAGAGAAGGCAAGAUAUAACUUAUGAUUAAUUUAUUUUCUUUUGAAUUAUUAUUUAAUUGAAAGAAUAAAUUUAACAUUGAGUUCAAUGUGAAAAUUAAAUUAUUUAUUCAUUAUGGUCUAAUUUUGUAACACCGUCCAUCCGAUGCGAUUCACCAAGUCUGAGUUUCGGGUAUUACUUCACAUAAAACUUAACAAAAUUUUCAAAAUAGAAGACAAAAAUUCAUCACUGAAAACAUUUCUAAUUAAUUUGAUUAAAGAAUCCGUACUUAGAGAAUAAAAACAGUAUUUGCAAAUAACAUAUCGUAUUGGUCUUGCUAAAAUUUUAUUAUAACACAAAAGUUACAAAACACAGAUUCAAAUGGCGUAGUCCUACUAAAUGCUAGUUCUUCUUAUACGCCCACUGUAUGCGUAGUAUCCCCUUAUACUGCUUCUCUGGCACAAUUCUGAUAUCGUCUCCUCAAGUACUUACACUUACACAACAAUUCCUAAAACAUAAACAUAACGCUAGUAAGUUCAAAGGAACUUAGUGAGUUAUGAACACAACUUGCCUUUUUAAAUUUCAUGAAAUUCUUCAUCUUGAAAAAAUGGACUUUCAUGUAUCUAUCUUUGGCGAAUACCUUUUCAUUUUCAGUUUUAUACUUUCAUACUUAUAGGCCUCUCAUCAUUCAUACCAUAUCUUCAUUCAUUCAACUAUUUGGCUAGCUCUAGGUCUCAACAUUUUGGCACCACACUUUUUAUUUCCCUUCAAACAACUUUCAACAAUUAUUCUCGAACAGUUAAUCGCAAGCACUAUUCUUGGCGGAUAUCACUUACUGAUCAUACUAUUGGUGUAACAGCCUGUUUUCAAUGAAAAUCAGAAUAGUGGUUUUGGGACCACAAAUCCGAGGUCAUAAAAUUUAUUUUAAUAUUAUUUUGUGAUCUACAUCAUGAUAAUAUUAUAGUAUAAAAAUUUCGUUAAGAAAUUUUACCGUUUGCAUGUUCAAUUUGAUAAAAAGGACUAAAUAACGUAAAGUGCGAAAGUUGUGUUCUAUUAGCUAAAUGUAUUAAAUAGCUAUAGAACUUUAAUGUGGAAGCCCUUAUUUGGUAAUUAUACCAUUAAAGAGAUAGUGGAAUAUGAUGGCUUGACAUUUUGUGUAAUAAAUAAUGUGUAUAAAGGUUAAAAUUGUAAAUUGGUUAAAAGUGACAAAAUAAAUUAAAUAAAAGAAACAAAGUGUCAUCUUUUUCACUUCCUUCACCAGUCGAAUUUGAAGACUUAGGAAGCCAUUGGAGAGCUUCAACAUUCAGCCAUCUCUCUCUUGUGCAUGUAGGUGUGUUUUGUCCCGUUUUUAAUGAUUUUUAUGUUUUCAGGAUCGUUGUAGCUUAACCUAGCUAUCCUGGGGACUAAUUCGCCAAACUAUUAAAGUACAUGAGUUUUUCCAUUGAUGAAUAUGUUAAGAUUUUGAAUUUUAAUGGUAGAAAAAGAAUGGUUGUUGUUAGAUAAACAACUUUUGUUAAUUGAUUUUUGUUAAAAUUGUCAAUUUUGGGCUAAAUUGAAAAAUGUGAAAUAUAAUUGUAUAAUUUGUGAAUUAAUGAAAUGUAUGGGCUGCUAUGAAUAUAUAUGAUAUUCGAAUAGGCUUGGGUAGGGAGGAAAUUACAUGAAUAUCAUUUUCUGAGCCUAAGGACUAAAUUGUAAAGAAAUCAAAAGUACAGGGGCAAAAUGAUUAUUUUGCCAAAAUAUGAUUUUUUGACUAAAUUGAUUAGAAUGAAAUUUGAAUUAGUUAAAUUUGAUUAUAUAGAUCAAGAAAGGCAAUGUGCGGAUUUAGAUCAGGAAAAGGAAGUACAAGAUUAGUUGAUUGUUUUUCUCUAUACGAGUUUGAGGUAAGUUCAUAUGUUUAAUAAGCAUUAAAUUAUAUGUGUUUUAAAUGUUUUAUUAUUAUAAUUGUGAUGAUAUGAAUUCACAGAAUUAUUCGACAAAAAUUCGGCAAAGUAUGGAUCCCGGUUGAACCUUAGGAAUAGAUAGGAUACAAAUGACAUGUCAUUAGGGGUUACCAUGUUUUGGGUGCUAGUCUUGUACGUCCUACCGGUGGCUGAGUUUCUGGCAUGUGUUGCGGUUACUCUACAUCUUGUGUGAGCAGCACCGUGUAGCUACGUCUUGACUGACAACUUGUGUGAGCAGACCCAGAUAUGGCUCGAGAGUGAUCAUCGAUAUGAGAUAUGAGAUAGUAGUGGUUUUGACCAUGUAUUGGCACAUAAUGUGUGAGCUACCAGUGUAUCCGAUAGUAUUCCAAAUGGUUCAACGGGCAUAGUUCAGUUAUGAGGCUAUAUGAGUUCGAUACGAGUGUACAUGAAUAUACAUGAAGUGCGUGAAAAUGGUAUAUAUUUAUGAUAUAUGAAUACAUGGUAAACUUGGUUGAUGAUUAUGUGUUAGGCUUUUUGGCCAAAUUGAGUUGUGAUAUGCUUUGUUUUACUCACUUAAAUUGUGGUUCAACGGAUAUAAUAAAAAGGAAAAGAUCGACAAAUUCUUUGAUUAGAAUUGCUAUUGGAAAGCUAUGAGUUUUAGGAUGAUUGGAAUAUGUUUAGUCAUAUGCUUGAAAUAUGAAUGUACAUAAGCAAUGUGACUUAUGUUAUGAUGUUUUGAAAUGAUUUGCUAGUUUAUGUGAUAUUUAAAAUUAAAAGCCUAAUGUUGUUUAGGCUAAGGCCAAGACAUGUUGGAUUGACUUAAAUGGAUUAUACUUAUAAAUUGAAGUGGCAAGCUUUAUUUCUUUGAGUUAUGAACUUACUAAGCAUUUCAUGCUUACUUUGUGUUAACUUCUUUGUAUCUAGUUAUCGGAAGCUCGUUCAGGUUGGAAGGUGUCGGAGAUAUCAUCACACUAUCUAUCGGCUAUUUUGGUACUCAUGGUUUUAUAAUUUUGGUUAUAAUGACAUGUAUAAUCAUUUUUGGCUAACAAUAGCCUAUAUGUUCUGUUAUGUUUUAGCCAAAUGAUUUGGCUUGUAUUUUGGGUAUAUUUUGUUGUAUAUAUAUGUGUAAUUAGCCUUAUCAUAUUUGAUGUAUGUUUAUCAUAUGAGUAUGUUAGUUUAUAAAUUGGUAUUUUGAGUACCAAAUGGUUGAGCUUGAUAGGUGGCAUGUAUGUUAAGUGUUGAUAAAGUGAUGCAUAUAUGUAUUUGAUCAUUUAGGUAUGUUUGGGAUACAAAAUAUGUAUGUUUAUAAAUGGUCAAUUAGGGUGCCAUGGGAAUCAUGGUUGUAUGUGUUGAUAUUAGGGGUGAGUGUUCGAUCAAAUUGAAUCGAAUCGAAUGAAAAAAUUUCAAGUUAAUCAAGUUGACG